UGUCUGGCCGAUUUCAGGGCUUGU
RNAcentral lists this unclassified non-coding RNA (24 nucleotides) under Mus musculus (house mouse). RNAcentral describes it as "oocyte_clustered_small_RNA5314". Lineage: Eukaryota; Metazoa; Chordata; Mammalia; Rodentia; Muridae. The record is from RNAcentral.